This 1500-nucleotide ribosomal RNA is filed under the name metagenome. Its description in RNAcentral is "bacterial SSU rRNA". It matches the Rfam family "Bacterial small subunit ribosomal RNA". The record is from RNAcentral.
AGAGUUUGAUUCUGGCUCAGAACGAACGCUGGCAGCGUGGAUUAGGCAUGCAAGUCGAACGUGAAGCCAAUGAACAAUCUUUCGGGAGAGUGAUUUGGUGGAAAGUGGCGAAAGGGUGAGUAACGCGUGGGUAAGCUACCCCGAAGUUUGGGACAACCCGCCGAAAGGCGGGCUAAUACCAGAUGUGGUCGCUGGAUGCAUAUCCGGACGAUUAAAGGUGGGGAUUCUUCGGAACCUGCCGCUUUGGGCGGUGCCCGCGUGCCAUCAGCUUGUUGGUAGGGUAAUGGCCUACCAAGGCUUACGGCUAGCCGGCCUGAGAGGGUGACCGGCCACACUGGGACUGAGACACUGCCCAGACUCCUACGGGAGGCUGCAGUCGAGGAUCAUUCGCAAUGCGCGAAAGCGUGACGAUGCGACGCUGCGUGGAGGAUGAAGGCCUUCGGGUCGUAAACUCCUGUCAUGAGGGAACAGCCGGCGAUGGGUUAAUACCCUAACGCCCCGAUGGUACCUCAAGAGGAAGCCACGGCUAACUCUGUGCCAGCAGCCGCGGUAAUACAGAGGUGGCGAGCGUUGUUCGGAUUUACUGGGCGUAAAGGGUGCGUAGGUGGUUUCGUAUGUCGGAUGUGAAAGCCCAUGGCUCAACUGUGGAAUUGCAUUCGAAACUGCGGAACUAGAGUGCAGGAUGGGAGAGCGGAAUUCUUGGUGUAGCGGUGAAAUGCGUUGAUAUCAAGAAGAACACCGGUGGCGAAGGCGGCUCUCUGGAAUGUCACUGACACUGAGGCACGAAAGCUGGGGGAGCGAACAGGAUUAGAUACCCUGGUAGUCCCAGCCGUAAACGGUGCACACUUGGUGUGGGGAGAUUUAACCCUCUCCGUGCCGGAGCUAACGCGUUAAGUGUGCCGCCUGGGGAGUACGGCCGCAAGGCUAAAACUCAAAGAAAUUGACGGGGGCCCGCACAAGCGGAGGAGCAUGUGGCUUAAUUCGAUGCAACGCGAAGAACCUUACCAGGGCUUGACAUAUACCUGCACGCCCCUCGAAAGGGGGGAAGCCUUUGAGGGUGGUAUACAGGUGCUGCAUGGCUGUCGUCAGUUCGUGCUGUGAGGUGUUGGGUUAAGUCCCGCAACGAACGCAACCCUUGUGGUUAGUUGCCACCGGCGGUGAUGAGCCGCCGAGCACUCUAGCCAGACUGCCCGUACAAGCGGGAGGAAGGUGGGGAUGACGUCAAGUCAGUAUGGCCCUUACGCCCUGGGCUGCACACGUGCUACAAUGGGCGGUACAAUGGGAUGCAAUACCGCGAGGUGGAGCAAAUCCCUAAAGCCGCCCCAGUUCGGAUUGAAGUCUGCAACUCGACUUCAUGAAGUUGGAUUCGCUAGUAAUGGCGCAUCAGCUACGGCGCCGUGAAUACGUUCCCGGGCCUUGUACACACCGCCCGUCACAUCAUGAAAGCCGUCUGCACCCGAAGUCGCUGAUCCAACCCGCAAGGGAGGAAGGCGCCGAAGG